This 305-nucleotide ribosomal RNA is filed under the name uncultured bacterium. RNAcentral's name for it is "bacterial SSU rRNA". It matches the Rfam family "Bacterial small subunit ribosomal RNA", at positions 333 to 636 of the family's 1533-position model. The record is from RNAcentral.
GCGUUCCUACGGGCGCAGCAGUGAGGAAUAUUGGUCAAUGGCCGGAAGGCUGAACCAGCCAAGUCGCGUGAGGGACGACUGCCCUAUGGGUUGUAAACUUCUUUUAUAAAGGAAUAAAGUGAGGCACGUGUGCCUUUUUGUAUGUAUUUUAUGAAUAAGGAUCGGCUAACUCCGUGCCAGCAGCCGCGGUAAUACGGAGGAUCCGAGCGUUAUCCGGAUUUAUUGGGUUUAAAGGGAGCGUAGAUGGGUUGUUAAGUCAGUUGUGAAAGUUUGCGGCUCAACCGUAAAAUUGCAAUUGAUACUGG